GUCCAGACUCCUACGGGAGGCAGCAGUGGGGAAUAUUGCACAAUGGGGGGAACCCUGAUGCAGCGACGCCGCGUGGGUGAAGGAGCACCUCGGUGCGUAAAGCCCUAUCGGCAGGGGAGAAAAGCGAACAGGUUCGCCUGGACGGUACCUGACUAAGAAGCCCCGGCUAACUACGGGCCAGCAGCCGCGGGAAUACGUAGGGGGCAAGCGUUAUCCGGAUUUACUGGGUGUAAAGGGAGCGUAGACGGCUGCGCAAGUCAGAAGUGAAAGCCCGGGGCUCAACCGCGGGACUGCUUUUGAAACUGUGUAGCUAGAGUGCAGGAGAGGUAAGUGGAAUUCCUAGUGUAGCGGUGAAAUGCGUAGAUAUUAGGAGGAACACCGGUGGCGAAGGCGGCUUACUGGACUGUAACUGACGUUGAGGCUCGAAAGCGUGGGGAGCAAACAGGAUUAGAUACCCGAGUAGAG
RNAcentral lists this ribosomal RNA (465 nucleotides) under uncultured bacterium. Its description in RNAcentral is "bacterial SSU rRNA". It matches the Rfam family "Bacterial small subunit ribosomal RNA", at positions 329 to 793 of the family's 1533-position model. The record is from RNAcentral.